AUUUAUAUAGUUUAUUUAAAACAUUAUAUUUUCAAUAUAAAAUUAUUAAUUUUUAUUUAUAAAUA
RNAcentral lists this transfer RNA (65 nucleotides) under Euaspis polynesia. Its description in RNAcentral is "tRNA-Glu". Lineage: Eukaryota; Metazoa; Arthropoda; Insecta; Hymenoptera; Megachilidae. The record is from RNAcentral.